Molecule: ribosomal RNA, 253 nt
Filed under: uncultured bacterium
Lineage: Bacteria
Description: partial 16S ribosomal RNA
Rfam family: Bacterial small subunit ribosomal RNA
Source: RNAcentral
UACGUAGGGUGCAAGCGUUAAUCGGAAUUACUGGGCGUAAAGCGUGCGCAGGCGGUUUUGCAAGACCGAUGUGAAAGCCCCGGGCUCAACCUGGGAACUGCAAUGGAAACUGGCGGGCUUGAGUGUGGCAGAGGGGGGUGAAAUUCCGCGUGUAGCAGUGAAAUGCGUAGAGAUGCGGAGGAACACCGAUGGCGAAGGCAGCCCCCUGGGCCAACACUGACGCUCAGGCACGAAAGCGUGGGGAGCAAACAGG